GGAGAACGCUUACCACUUUGUGGUUCAUGACUGGGGUGAAGUCGUAACAAGGUAGCCCUAGGGGAACCUGGGGCUGGAUCACCUCCUUAUACGAUGAU
RNAcentral lists this ribosomal RNA (98 nucleotides) under Vibrio aquaticus. RNAcentral describes it as "Vibrio sp. BEI207 partial 16S ribosomal RNA". It matches the Rfam family "Bacterial small subunit ribosomal RNA", at positions 1445 to 1533 of the family's 1533-position model. Lineage: Bacteria; Pseudomonadati; Pseudomonadota; Gammaproteobacteria; Vibrionales; Vibrionaceae. The record is from RNAcentral. RNAcentral also lists the same sequence under 1 other name.